GAUGAACGCUGGCGGCGUGCCUAAUACAUGCAAGUCGAGCGAACAGACGAGGAGCUUGCUCCUCUAACGUUAGCGGCGGACGGGUGAGUAACACGUGGAUAACCUACCUAUAAGACUGGGAUAACUUCGGGAAACCGGAGCUAAUACCGGAUAAUAUAUUGAACCGCAUGGUUCAAUAGUGAAAGACGGUUUUGCUGUCACUUAUAGAUGGAUCCGCGCCGCAUUAGCUAGUUGGUAAGGUAACAGCUUACAAAGGCAACGAUGCGUAGCCGACCUGAGAGGGUGAUCGGCCACACUGGAACUGAGACACGGUCCAGACUCCUACGGGAGGCAGCAGUAGGGAAUCUUCCGCAAUGGGCGAAAGCCUGACGGAGCAACGCCGCGUGAGUGAUGAAGGUCUUCGGAUCGUAAAACUCUGUUAUUAGGGAAGAACAAAUGUGUAAGUAACUAUGCACGUCUUGACGGUACCUAAUCAGAAAGCCACGGCUAACUACGUG
Molecule: ribosomal RNA, 497 nt
Filed under: uncultured bacterium
Lineage: Bacteria
Description: partial 16S ribosomal RNA
Rfam family: Bacterial small subunit ribosomal RNA
Source: RNAcentral